This 429-nucleotide ribosomal RNA is filed under the name Klebsiella pneumoniae. RNAcentral describes it as "partial 23S ribosomal RNA". It matches the Rfam family "Bacterial large subunit ribosomal RNA", at positions 2502 to 2925 of the family's 2925-position model. Lineage: Bacteria; Pseudomonadati; Pseudomonadota; Gammaproteobacteria; Enterobacterales; Enterobacteriaceae. The record is from RNAcentral.
AUAUCGACGGCGGUGUUUGGCACCUCGAUGUCGGCUCAUCACAUCCUGGGGCUGAAGUAGGUCCCAAGGGUAUGGCUGUUCGCCAUUUAAAGUGGUACGCGAGCUGGGUUUAGAACGUCGUGAGACAGUUCGGUCCCUAUCUGCCGUGGGCGCUGGAGAAUUGAGGGGGGCUGCUCCUAGUACGAGAGGACCGGAGUGGACGCAUCACUGGUGUUCGGGUUGUCAUGCCAAUGGCAUUGCCCGGUAGCUAAAUGCGGAAGAGAUAAGUGCUGAAAGCAUCUAAGCACGAAACUUGCCCCGAGAUGAGUUCUCCCUGAGACUUUAAGUCUCCUGAAGGAACGUUGAAGACGACGACGUUGAUAGGCCGGGUGUGUAAGCGCAGCGAUGCGUUGAGCUAACCGGUACUAAUGAACCGUGAGGCUUAACCUU